RNAcentral lists this ribosomal RNA (253 nucleotides) under uncultured bacterium. RNAcentral's name for it is "partial 16S ribosomal RNA". It matches the Rfam family "Bacterial small subunit ribosomal RNA", at positions 524 to 776 of the family's 1533-position model. The record is from RNAcentral.
UACGUAGGGGGCAAGCGUUGUCCGGAAUCAUUGGGCGUAAAGAGCGCGUAGGCGGUCCGGUAAGUCCGCUCUGAAAGCCCGGGGCUCAACCCCGGGAGGCGGGCGGAUACUGUCGGGCUAGAGUCCGGAAGAGGCGAGUGGAAUUCCUGGUGUAGUGGUGAAAUGCGCAGAUAUCAGGAGGAACACCGAUGGCGAAGGCAGCUCGCUGGGACGGUACUGACGCUGAGGCGCGAAAGCGUGGGGAGCAAACAGG